This is a long non-coding RNA of Astatotilapia calliptera (eastern happy), 572 nucleotides long. The record is from Ensembl. NCBI's taxonomy places the organism in Eukaryota, Metazoa, Chordata, Actinopteri, Cichliformes, Cichlidae.
UCCAGAUCAGAGAGGAGGAGGAGAGAUUCAGGGAGGAGCUGAGCUGUUACUGAACUAGAAGAGAGAGAAACCUCCACAUUCAACAGAGUUCAACACAAACCAUAAACUUUACCUUCAUUCAACAUGUUGUCUUUGGACUAUUUUGCACUUUCUUUACUGAUUCUCACCAUUCUAACAGGUGUCAGCUGUGAAGAUCUCACUCCAACCAACAAAGAAGUGUUCAGUGUAGAAGGCAGCACAGCUACUCUGUCCUAUAGAUUAUCCAAAAAGGCAACUGGAAGUGACGAGUUUUACUGGUAUCGACAAUAUCCUGGAAAACCACCAGAGUUCCUGAUCUCUCAUUUGGGAUCAGGAAGUGUAAUGAAAGAAGAAAUCUCUGGACUGUCUGUUCAAGUUGUGGAUGAUCAAAAACAAAUCGAUCUCAACAUCUCCUCUGCUGCAGUGUCUGACUCUGCUGUGUACUACUGUGCUGUGAGGCCCACAGUGACAGGAAACAGCAAAACUCUGUACAAAAACCUUUGGAGCAAAGACAACAGAAUACUCCACAACAUCCACUAGAGGGAGCCACACAC